RNAcentral lists this ribosomal RNA (425 nucleotides) under uncultured bacterium. Its description in RNAcentral is "partial 16S ribosomal RNA". It matches the Rfam family "Bacterial small subunit ribosomal RNA", at positions 354 to 796 of the family's 1533-position model. The record is from RNAcentral.
GUGGGGAAUAUUGGACAAUGGGCGAAAGCCUGAUCCAGCAAUGCCGCGUGAGUGAAGAAGGCCUUAGGGUUGUAAAGCUCUUUUACCCGGGAAGAUAAUGACUGUACCGGGAGAAUAAGCUCCGGCUAACUCCGUGCCAGCAGCCGCGGUAAUACGGAGGGAGCUAGCGUUGUUCGGAAUCACUGGGCGUAAAGCGCACGUAGGCGGCUUUGUAAGUUAGAGGUGAAAGCCCGGGGCUCAACUCCGGAACUGCCUUUAAGACUGCAUCGCUUGAAUCUGGGAGAGGUAAGUGGAAUUCCGAGUGUAGAGGUGAAAUUCGUAGAUAUUCGGAAGAACACCAGUGGCGAAGGCGGCUUACUGGACCAGAAUUGACGCUGAGGUGCGAAAGCGUGGGGAGCAAACAGGAUUAGAAACCCCAGUAGUCC